RNAcentral lists this ribosomal RNA (460 nucleotides) under uncultured bacterium. RNAcentral describes it as "partial 16S ribosomal RNA". It matches the Rfam family "Bacterial small subunit ribosomal RNA", at positions 338 to 795 of the family's 1533-position model. The record is from RNAcentral.
CCUACGGGAGGCAGCAGUGAGGAAUAUUGGUCAAUGGGCGUAAGCCUGAACCAGCCAAGUCGCGUGAGGGAUGAAGGUUCUAUGGAUCGUAAACCUCUUUUAUAAGGGAAUAAAGUGCGGGACGUGUCCCGUUUUGUAUGUACCUUAUGAAUAAGGAUCGGCUAACUCCGUGCCAGCAGCCGCGGUAAUACGGAGGAUCCGAGCGUUAUCCGGAUUUAUUGGGUUUAAAGGGUGCGUAGGCGGCCUUUUAAGUCAGCGGUGAAAGUCUGUGGCUCAACCAUAGAAUUGCCGUUGAAACUGGGAGGCUUGAGUAUGUUUGAGGCAGGCGGAAUGCGUGGUGUAGCGGUGAAAUGCUUAGAUAUCACGAAGAACUCCGAUUGCGAAGGCAGCUUACUAAACUGCCACUGACAUUGAUGCUCGAAAGUGUGGGUAUCAAACAGGAUUAGAUACCCUAGUAGUC